This is a small nucleolar RNA of Chlorocebus sabaeus (green monkey), 105 nucleotides long. It matches the Rfam family "Small nucleolar RNA U13". Lineage: Eukaryota; Metazoa; Chordata; Mammalia; Primates; Cercopithecidae. The record is from Rfam.
AUCCUUUUGUAGUUCCUAAGUGUGAUGUUUGAGUGUUCACGUGCAUGUGUGAGAUGUGCCACCCUUGAACCUUGUUAUGAUGUCAGUACAUUUUCCCAUCUGACA